CCCUAUUUAUAACAAUGAGAGCCUUGCCACUGACUUCAGUAGGAUCACGAUUUUACCCCUAAGGUGCAGUUGUGCUUUCCUAGGAAAGCUAAUGUAUAAAAUACAGCCUCUGCCAGCACAUCAUCGAUGCAAUAGCAUAGAAAGAGGAUAACAUUGAAUGACAUCCAUAGCCAAUAAUAGCUGCUGUGAGCAUCCCGUCGAGCAGUGUGUUAAUGUUAGUCACCAGCUUCCUGGGUUUGUAUAAGAUUAUUUUCUUCAUAUUUGAAUGAGGUAGACUCAGGAUGAAUUGGGGUUCUCUGUGGAACUGUGCUUAGCAUUUGUUUUUUGUAAUUUUUUUAAACUCAUCAAAGAAUGUCAGAUGUGGUAAAGCUGCUUUGAUUUUUAUUAACGAAGCACACCAUUUAUAACUAAGUAAGUUUUUUAAGCCCUUUGAGGCACUGUUUAAUUUUUCAGCUCUCUUUUUUUUUGAUUCUAUCUAGUUCUGCAUUAGCUUCCUAUCCUCAGGUCUUACCUUUUGUAAAGCAGAUGUUGUCGUCCAUGCAUCUCUGGGAGGUAUUUUGUACCUCAUGAAAGAAGGAAAAAGAGCCUUGAUUCGGAUCCCAGUCUUCACUGACCAGCUGUAGGCAGUGUGCUGUGGACAUCAGCAACAUUACAGCGGGUCUUUGGCCAGUAUCUUGCCUACAAGUCAAGGAUUGUUGCUCCAUAUCUGCCAGCCAAUAUCUUUAACAGUAUGCCCUGAAAUGCCUUAUGGAUUCAAGCUGUCCCUUAAUCAGUGUUGCAGAGGAUGCAGUUUUGAUCUUUUUCUCUAGUACGUGAACUAUGAUACUAGAUUCAUUCUGGCAUACAUCUGUCAGACCAGACUAAAAGCAUUCAGUUUGAGACACUUCAUUACCAGAAUGGGGCCAACAAAUCGGAGACAAGCUAAAAAAGGAGGUUUCAAAUAUAACGUACAUGGAAAAUAGAGGA
RNAcentral lists this long non-coding RNA (966 nucleotides) under Calidris pugnax (ruff). RNAcentral describes it as "lncRNA (ENSCPUG00000004435.1)". Lineage: Eukaryota; Metazoa; Chordata; Aves; Charadriiformes; Scolopacidae. The record is from RNAcentral.